ACGGGGUGCAGCAGGCGCGAAAACUGGCCAAAUGCGCGAAAGCGUGAGCCGGCUAAUCCGAGUGAUCUCCCAUCGGAGAUCUUUUGUUAUGUGUUCAAAGCAUGACGAAUAAUGAGAGGGCAAGACUGGUGCCAGCCGCCGCGGUAAAACCAGCUCUUAGAGUGGUGGGCAUGAUUAUUUGGCUUAAAGAGUGCGUAGCAGGACAGCGUAAGUCCCCCGUGAAAUGCCAGGCCUUAAGCUUGGCGCGGGCGGGGGAUACUGUGCGUCUUGGGACCGGUAUAGGUACAAGGUAUGCAUUGGGUAGGGGUGAAAUCCGAUAAUCCAAUGCAGACCACCGGUGGCGAAGGCGUUGUACUGGAACGGGUCCGACUGUGAGGCACGAAAGCUAGGGUCGCGAGCCGGAUUAGAUACCCGGGUAGUCCUAUGCUGUAAACGAUGCUCACUAAGUGUUAGGCAAUGCAAGACGUUGUCUAGUGCCGAAGGGAAACCGUUAAGUGAGCCGCCUGGAAGUACGUUCGCAAGAA
Molecule: ribosomal RNA, 524 nt
Filed under: uncultured archaeon
Lineage: Archaea
Description: bacterial SSU rRNA
Rfam family: Archaeal small subunit ribosomal RNA
Source: RNAcentral